GAUGAAGAACGCAGCGAAAUGCGAUAAGUAAUGUGAAUUGCAGAAUUCAGUGAAUCAUCGAAUCUUUGAACGCACAUUGCGCCCAUUAGUAUUCUAGUGGGCAGGCCUGUUCGAGCGUCAUUAAGUCCACUUAAGCCCUGCUUAGUGUUGGGAGACUGCUCCAGCGGUGCUACCCUGUAGCUACCCUGCAGCUCCUCAAAGACAGCGGCGGAGUUGUGGUAUCCUCUGAGCUUAGUAACUUGUUCUAGCUUUCGAGUACACCACUUCCCCUGCCGUAAAACCCUUAAUUUUUAAUGGUUGACCUCGGAUCAGGUAGGAAUACCCGCUGAACUUAAGCAUAUCAAUAAGCGGAGGA
This 355-nucleotide unclassified non-coding RNA is filed under the name soil metagenome. Its description in RNAcentral is "partial contains 5.8S ribosomal RNA, internal transcribed spacer 2, and large subunit ribosomal RNA". The stretch from base 1 to 120 matches the Rfam family "5.8S ribosomal RNA", at positions 35 to 154 of the family's 154-position model. The record is from RNAcentral.